GUCAGGAUGGCCGAGCGGUCUAAGGUGCUGGAUUCAGGCUCUAGAGCCGUGGGUUCAAAUCCCACUUCUGACA
Molecule: non-coding RNA, 73 nt
Organism: Pseudophryne corroboree (corroboree frog)
Lineage: Eukaryota; Metazoa; Chordata; Amphibia; Anura; Myobatrachidae
Source: the annotation of a RefSeq genome assembly